Molecule: ribosomal RNA, 1302 nt
Filed under: uncultured Campylobacterota bacterium
Lineage: Bacteria; Pseudomonadati; Campylobacterota
Description: bacterial SSU rRNA
Rfam family: Bacterial small subunit ribosomal RNA
Source: RNAcentral
CCCCAUACUCCUUCUCAUUAUAAGAUGAGUCGGGAAAGUUUUUUCGCUAAAGGAUUGGGCUAUAUGGUAUCAGCUUGUUGGUGAGGUAACGGCUCACCAAGGCUAUGACGCCUAACUGGUCUGAGAGGAUGAUCAGUCACACUGGAACUGAGACACGGUCCAGACUCCUACGGGAGGCAGCAGUGGGGAAUAUUACACAAUGGAGGAAACUCUGAUGUAGCAACGCCGCGUGGAGGAUGACACAUUUCGGUGCGUAAACUCCUUUUAUAUGGGAAGAUAAUGACGGUACCAUAUGAAUAAGCACCGGCUAACUCCGUGCCAGCAGCCGCGGUAAUACGGAGGGUGCAAGCGUUACUCGGAAUCACUGGGCGUAAAGCGCAUGUAGGCGGUCUUGUAAGUUGGGUGUGAAAGCCUAUGGCUCAACCAUAGAACUGCACCCAAAACUACUAGACUAGAGUCUGGGAGAGGAAAAUGGAAUUAGUUGUGUAGGGGUAAAAUCCGUAGAGAUAACUAGGAAUACCAAAAGCGAAGGCAAUUUUCUGGAACAGUACUGACGCUCAGAUGCGAAAGCGUGGGUAGCAAACAGGAUUAGAUACCCUGGUAGUCCACGCCCUAAACGAUGAAUGUUAGUCGUCGGGAGCUCGUCCUUUCGGUGAUGCAGCUAACGCAUUAAACAUUCCGCCUGGGGAGUACGGUCGCAAGAUUAAAACUCAAAGGAAUAGACGGGGACCCGCACAAGUGGUGGAGCAUGUGGUUUAAUUCGAAGAUACGCGAAGAACCUUACCUAGCCUUGACAUUGAUAGAAUCCGAUGGAAACAUUGGAGUGCCAGUUUACUGGAGCUUGAAAACAGGUGCUGCACGGCUGUCGUCAGCUCGUGUCGUGAGAUGUUGGGUUAAGUCCCGCAACGAGCGCAACCCUCGUCCUUAGUUACUAACGGUUCGGCCGAGGACUCUAAGGAGACUGCCUUCGUAAGGAGGAGGAAGGUGAGGACGACGUCAAGUCAUCAUGGCCCUUACGGCUAGGGCGACACACGUGCUACAAUGGAUAGGACAAUGAGACGCAAUACCGCGAGGUGGAGCAAAUCUAUAAACCUAUUCUCAGUUCGGAUUGUAGUCUGCAACUCGACUACAUGAAGCUGGAAUCACUAGUAAUCGUAGAUCAGCCAUGCUACGGUGAAUACGUUCCCGGGUCUUGUACUCACCGCCCGUCACACCAUGGGAGUUGAUUUCACCCGAAGCGGGGAAGCUAAACUGGCUACCCUCCACGGUGGAAUCAGCGACUGGGGUGAAGUGGUAACAAGG